This 39-nucleotide ribosomal RNA is filed under the name Pilobolus kleinii. RNAcentral's name for it is "partial 18S ribosomal RNA". Lineage: Eukaryota; Fungi; Mucoromycota; Mucoromycetes; Mucorales; Pilobolaceae. The record is from RNAcentral.
AAUGACCUCUCCGUAGGUGAACCUGCGGAAGGAUCAUUA